UCCGCGCCUACCCCAUUUGAUUACACUAAUAUAAGGUACCGAUGUUAUUCUAGCCGCGUAAAAGUCUGAAAUCCCACCCAGACACUCUAUCGCCUGCAGACGAAAACCUGAAAUGGUUUGACGGCGGGGAGACCACGAGAGACACCAACAAUAAACAUCGUAAAUCACGGUCUGAUUUAGUCCCUUUGGACUACAUUUGAUCCUGAUUCAAAGUAAAGGCGGGAAACGCAAACCAUGCGCACGUGCGUGUCGUGUGCGCAGUAGGAUUUCCUAGCUGGAUGACAGGAGUAACUUGAGGCCGGACUGACUGACGAAAAUGUUUGUCUCUAUAGGCCUGUCGGCAUGAAAAUGAUGACCAGUUAUGUUGUGGUAAAAUGUGCGAGAGUGAUAUAGUACACGAGAACGAAAGUUAUUUAUCAAAAUUAAUUCGGCGUCGACAUUUUCUGAGAUAACUCCGCAAUAUUGUACGAGUUGUCUACCUUCCUCUGUGGAUCUCUUAGCGCUGGAUGUAAGAUCAGAGGCGAGGUUACCUUUACGUCUCUGGUUUUGGAAGAUACACCAGGCAUUGGCUAAAGGGCUAUGAAAAGAUUGACUGGUGAGCAAGUCAUGCAAGGAAGGAUGCGAUUGUUGAGUCGAACAUCAUGGACACAGGAUGGAACCCAUAUUUUCAUUUCUGAGAGCUUGUCUACAAUCAUCUGGAUAAUUAU
Molecule: long non-coding RNA, 707 nt
Organism: Pecten maximus
Lineage: Eukaryota; Metazoa; Mollusca; Bivalvia; Pectinida; Pectinidae
Exons: 3
Source: RefSeq, a predicted model, not a curated record